Non-coding RNA from Phascolarctos cinereus (koala), 567 nucleotides. The record is from RefSeq and is a predicted model, not a curated record. Lineage: Eukaryota; Metazoa; Chordata; Mammalia; Diprotodontia; Phascolarctidae.
UAACUUUCUAUCUUUCUCCACUUUCCUCAUUUCUUCCCUCACCUCUGCCUCUAUGAGUGCCUAGUUUUCUGUCCUCUCAAGCACUAAGGAUUCAGUUUUCAUGAAUCACUAACACCUUUUUCCUGUUCCCUGGCUUUGCUGCAUUGUGCUGAUAAGGCAGCUUGGAAGAGGUGGAUACAAGCAGGCUAUAUUGCCCUCUGGGCCUGGAGGCAUGGAAGUACCUACACCUGGAGACAAUCCCCUCUCAAGCACCAAGACUUUGACAUUCAUACGCUAGAAAGACUUUGGAGAGAGAAAGAAGCAGAGUUCUAGAAAGACUUGGAGAAGAAGCAAGGCAUAAUUUGAAUGGCUAAUGGGAGCUCCCUAAAGUUAUCUACAUGUGAAGAAACCCAGCCAUCCAACACACCUCUUGAUUCUCAAUGCCUGCAACACCAGAGACUUCUAAGAACAGACUUCGUGGGUUAGAUUGUUCUCUCCUUGGCUGAGCUAAGGUUUCAAGUAGAUCCUGAGUUGCAAAAUCCCUUGACUCUUAUGUAUUUGAUCAUUUAUUUAAUCUAAUCUUUUAAC